GGAAGGGCCACCAAACAUUUCUUAGGCGAAGGAUAAUUUAUUUUGAUAUUAACUACCUUCAUGUUAGGCGCAGUUUAAUUAUGCUAGAUUAAAAAAAAAAAUUAUAUUUAAAGGGCACUUUCUUUAAAAGGUGGGGGGGUCGACCGCACCCAUCGACCCCCCAUGGUACGCCCCUGCUUUCCAUAAACUCUGUUUCUUCAGCCCCCCACCCCCAAAUGUCCAUGAUUUUGUUAUAUUAAAGAGAAACCACUUGUAAAUAAAAGACUUCUUUCGAUCAUUAUACAGUCUAAUAUUGUUUUAAUAGGGUUAUAUCACAGAUCGUGCACAUAAAGGUCAUUUCAAACCAGCAAUACUUAGACAAUAAUUUGACCAAUUUUGCAGAGAGCAUUUCACUUAAUUCUGCAGCAUGAGCAUUGGUUUCAAGUACUUAUUGCAGUGUGAAACAGCAUUUACAGAAUAGAAAAUCAUUUGCUUUUAUAUGGCAGCCAAUUCCAGCAGUCCAUACCAAGCUUGUUUUUUGCUGUACCUACACUGUGCCUUUUUGUCUUUUUAUCAGGCAUUAACACAAAGAAACAUGUACAAAUAGGCAAGAAUAGCAAUUUUUGGACCAGUCCUCUAACUUUCAUCUGAUAUUGAAUGCGCAAAGUUACCAAUACAAGUUUUAUACAUAUUCCACUGUAUGUGCAAUAUCAACAAUAAACUAUCCUAUUGUGGGAGGCACAGUGGUAAACCAAAGAAGUAGUAAAAUAUUUUGAUAAUUUUUUUUUUUUUUUGUCUUUUGUGGGGUUAUCCCACUUUUAUUACUUCUCACAUUUCAUCACUACAUAAUUACAAUUACAAGGUUUUAUGUGGUAAUUUUAUUUUGAUAAUUUAUUAUUACAAUGAAAGCAUGUGAUUUGUAUCAUGUUUUUGCACAGUACAUAAAUCAUAGUUUUUUUGCAGAACGUAUUAACCUAUCAGUACAGGUAAAGAGUAAUCAAUAAAAGUAAACAAUCAGUAAUUCUUAAUAUCUAAUACCAUAUUGUCCAAUUUAAAAGUAAAAAAAAAUAUUAAGUUUGACUUUGUUUACUGGUCUAGGCAUCAAUACAAAUUUGUUUCUUGACAAAUGAUACCUUGUCUUUCAAAAAUAAUUGAAUGUUGUAUAUGUUACCAAUAUUUUUUCUUGAUUGAAGUGCAAUGUUAAUGCCCAAUUAUUAUUAUUUUUUUAAUAUUGAAAUUUGACACAAAUGCCACUAUAACAAAACCUGGUUUACAAUUAAUAGCAGAGCUCGAAAAUAUUCUUACACUUUUAUUUUGCUGCCUCUACAUACAGGCAUUUUCCUUUGUAGAAAAGUAACAGUUUGUCAUUACUAUCUAUGAAUGUACUGUAGGAAUAUAAAGAAUGCUGUAUGAGUUAAGUUGAGACUUUUAAAUUGUUUUGUAAACUUUGUUAAAGAUCAUCAAAGUGCGGGUAAAAACAAAAAUGAACAUUUUUUUUCGUAUUCGCAAGUGGUUUUUUGCCAAACAUAUCCAGACAGAGAAAAUACAAAUAAAAAUUAUUGGUGAAUGUAAACAGUGUAGUAUUGGAAUGGUUAAAUGAUUUAAUUUUGUAUAUUUAGGAGGAAAUAUACAUAUUUUGUAUUUUGAGAUUUCAAGGCAGUGGUAGGCAUGAUAACAAAUUUUAAAAACACCUAUGUUUAUUUCUGGAAUUCCCAUUUUUCGUGGCAGCAGGUGUGCUAAUUGAACAAAAAGAAAAAUUUCUUUUCAUUUGACGUCAGUUUGUGCGAGAGAUGGGUUUGCGAAACAAGGUAUAAAAAGUCUUGCCUAGUUGAAGUAAAAUUACAAGAAGGCCGCUGCAAUCAGGUUAAUCCUUGGGUCUUCACCUCCUGAAAAAUUCAUUUACAUUUCUUAUGUCUAAAUUUCAUUUUAUAAUAUUUUAGUUUGCAGCCAAAAUAAAUGACAUUAUUCACCAUCUCUGUUUUUCAUAUGUUUCCACUAUAGACCUAACACAUCUACAUGCGUUUAGGGCCCUGUAGGAGCCCUAGUGGGUUAAAAAAAAUGGAGCAUGUGGGGUAAACCUAUUACUUCUUUUUAUUAAAUGUUUUCCUCAAAUACAUGUCAUCUGACUUAUAAAUAUCACUGUGCCAAGAAUACUACAGUGUCACAAAAGGAGUUCAACUUGGCACCAUUUUCUCCACUGACAAACCAUUCAUCCCAAUUUUCAAUGUAAUGAUAAGAUAUUGCAUCCUCGAUUUUCUUUGUAAAUUUUAGUUGAUGAUUAAAAUAAAUGUGUGUUCGAUAACUAA
Molecule: long non-coding RNA, 2285 nt
Filed under: Anneissia japonica
Lineage: Eukaryota; Metazoa; Echinodermata; Crinoidea; Comatulida; Comatulidae
Description: uncharacterized LOC117117408
Source: RNAcentral